Molecule: ribosomal RNA, 301 nt
Filed under: uncultured bacterium
Lineage: Bacteria
Description: partial 16S ribosomal RNA
Rfam family: Bacterial small subunit ribosomal RNA
Source: RNAcentral
CAGCAGCCGCGGUAACACGUAGGUGGCAAGCGUUGUCCGGAAUUAUUGGGCGUAAAGCGCGCGCAGGCGGAUAGGUCAGUCUGUCUUAAAAGUUCGGGGCUUAACCCCGUGAUGAGAUGGAAACUGCCAAUCUAGAGUAUCGGAGAGGAAAGUGGAAUUCCUAGUGUAGCGGUGAAAUGCGUAGAUAUUAGGAAGAACACCAGUGGCGAAGGCGACUUUCUGGACGAAAACUGACGCUGAGGCGCGAAAGCCAGGGGAGCGAACGGGAUUAGAUACCCGGGUAGUCCCUGUCUCUUAUACC